This 693-nucleotide ribosomal RNA is filed under the name uncultured Acidobacterium sp. RNAcentral's name for it is "bacterial SSU rRNA". It matches the Rfam family "Bacterial small subunit ribosomal RNA", at positions 718 to 1407 of the family's 1533-position model. The record is from RNAcentral. Lineage: Bacteria; Pseudomonadati; Acidobacteriota; Terriglobia; Terriglobales; Acidobacteriaceae.
AAGGCGGCUUCCUGGACCGACACUGACGCUGAGGCGCGAAAGCUAGGGGAGCAAACGGGAUUAGAUACCCCGGCUAUCCGAGCCCUAAACGAUGAGAACUGGGUGUAGAGGGUAUGAACCCCUUCUGUGCCGAAGCUAACGCAUUAAGUUCUCCGACCUGGGGAGUACGGUCGCAAUGCUGAAACUCAAAGGAAUUGACGGGGGCCCGCACAAGCGGUGGAGCAUGUGGUUCAAUUCGACGCAACGCGAAGUAACCUUACCGGGGUUUGAACCGCACGGGACAGCUGUAGCAGAUACGGUCUUCCUUCGGGACCCGUGUAGAGGUGCUGCAUGGCUGUCGUCAGCUCGUGUCGUGAGAUGUUGGGUUAAGUCCCGCAACGAGCGCAACCCUUGCCUCCUGUUGCUAACAGGUAAUGCUGAGCACUCUGGAGGAACUGCCGGCGAUAAGCCGGAGGAAGGUGGGGAUGACGUCAAGUCCUCAUGGCCUUUAUGCCCCGGGCUACACACGUGCUACAAUGGCUGGUACAAAGGGUCGCAAAACCGCGAGGUGGAGCUAAUCCCAAAAAGCCAGUCCCAGUUCGGAUUGCAGUCUGCAACUCGACUGCAUGAAGUUGGAAUCGCUAGUAAUCGCGGAUCAGCACGCCGCGGUGAAUACGUUCCCGGGCCUUGUACACACCGCCCGUCACAUCACGA